AUGAGCACACCACCAGACAGUGUUUUACCACAAAUAAACCGCCUUAACAAAAAGAAGAGCAAGAAACCAAAGGAUUCUACGACCACUUGCUUUGUAGAGAAAUAGGGAAGAGCCAAGGACCAAAAAAGAAACAAUGACCAUUGAGUAAAAGUGCCAAGCAUCUUAAUAGGAACAACUUUCUUUAUAAUAACAGCACCUGUGCAUGAUAAGCUUCCUGAAUUAAAGUA
This 227-nucleotide unclassified non-coding RNA is filed under the name Hevea brasiliensis (rubber tree). The record is from RNAcentral. Lineage: Eukaryota; Viridiplantae; Streptophyta; Magnoliopsida; Malpighiales; Euphorbiaceae.